UAUAAACUUCAUCACUCUAUAAAACCACAUCAAGAAAAAAGAAGAUAGAUCCAAAUAUAUCUUUCUGUUUUCCUCUGUAUAUUCAAUUAACAAAAUGUCGAUAAGAAGAUCAAUUCUUGCUAGUGUUUUUCUAUUUGUUACAUUCAUAACAACCUCUGUAGCACAGAGUUCUACAACUUCUGAUCAAUGUGCCUUUUUUUACUGCAAUGAUAAUCCAGUAUUUCGUGUGAUUAUGGUGAUAAAAUUUGUUGUGGGAUUCUCAAUCUUGAUUGCAGUAGUGGUGUGGCAGUGCAAAAGACGUAAUUUCAACACAUGGAAUGAUAAUUUGAUGAAUAGAGCAUCCUCCUCCUACGAACAAAACUGUUAACUUUUACUACUGUUUCCCUUUUUUUUUUUUUUUUUAUAUAUAAUAUAAAAGAUACAAUUGUCCCAUCAUAUCAUAUCCAAAAAUGAUUUCUAGAUUUAGCUUUGAUUUUCAAAUUAACAGCUAGUUCAACUCAUUUUGACACUAAAAAAAAUGAGGUUUGUGGUAUUGUAAUUUUAUUUCUGUA
Long non-coding RNA from Solanum stenotomum, 551 nucleotides. RefSeq lists it as uncharacterized. The transcript is spliced from 2 exons. NCBI's taxonomy places the organism in Eukaryota, Viridiplantae, Streptophyta, Magnoliopsida, Solanales, Solanaceae. The record is from RefSeq and is a predicted model, not a curated record.